This 52-nucleotide ribosomal RNA is filed under the name Cordulegaster sayi. RNAcentral describes it as "partial 5.8S ribosomal RNA". Lineage: Eukaryota; Metazoa; Arthropoda; Insecta; Odonata; Cordulegastridae. The record is from RNAcentral. RNAcentral also lists the same sequence under 1 other name.
ACGGUGGAUCACUCGGCUCGUGGAUCGAUGAAGAACGCAGCAAACUGCGCGU